Molecule: ribosomal RNA, 301 nt
Filed under: uncultured bacterium
Lineage: Bacteria
Description: partial 16S ribosomal RNA
Rfam family: Bacterial small subunit ribosomal RNA
Source: RNAcentral
CAGCAGCCGCGGUAACACGAAGGGGGCUAGCGUUGUUCGGAUUAACUGGGCGUAAAGGGCGCGUAGGCGGGCUUUUAGGUCAGAGGUGAAAUCCCAAGGCUCAACCUUGGAACUGCCUUUGAUACUGAAGAUCUUGAGUUCGGGAGAGGUGAGUGGAACUGCGAGUGUAGAGGUGAAAUUCGUAGAUAUUCGCAAGAACACCAGUGGCGAAGGCGGCUCACUGGCCCGAUACUGACGCUGAGGCACGAAAGCGUGGGGAGCAAACAGGAUUAGAUACCCGCGUAGUCCCUGUCUCUUAUAC